Small nucleolar RNA from Cebus imitator (Panamanian white-faced capuchin), 103 nucleotides. RefSeq annotates it as small nucleolar RNA U13. Lineage: Eukaryota; Metazoa; Chordata; Mammalia; Primates; Cebidae. The record is from RefSeq and is a predicted model, not a curated record. The transcript has a single exon.
AUUUUUUUGUAGUUCAUAAACAUGAUGAUUGGGCUUUCACAUUUGUUUUAAGAUGUGCCUUCCUCAAACCUUAUUAUGUUGUCAGCACAUUACCUGUCUGAUG